CAUGCAUCGCGAUUUCCCUGUGCAACACAGGGUUUCCAGGGACCUCACUCAGAUGUGUAGAUUCAGUCUAUAUAGCAUACAAAACCAAACAUUGUUCAAAACCAUGCACUUAGUCAAAUUGCUAUUGCUAGUGGAUCCACUAUGAAAAUAUCACAGUUUCCAUCUGCUGCCGGCACAUCAGUAGAUCAUCAACACGACUCACAACUGGUGCAACGAAGAGCACAUUCAACUAGAGGGGGUGUCAAUGUAAGCAACAGAAGAAGAAGAAUACCAGCAAACAGCAUUGGACACUUAAAGGAUCAAAUUGAAGCACUUUCUAGACAGGAGCUUCAAGGUUUAUGUGUCAGAAUAGCUGAAAGGAAACCAGCUCUUAUCAGUGAACUUCUGCGGGCCAGUUCAAAUGCCUGUAGCCAACAAUCUACAAGACCGUCAAGCCACAGUGUUCCUGAAUGGUGUGUUUGCACCAACUGUCGAGUAAUGCCUACUGAAGUGGAGAGUGUUUGCU
Protopterus annectens (West African lungfish) is the source of this 505-nucleotide long non-coding RNA. RefSeq lists it as uncharacterized. The record is from RefSeq and is a predicted model, not a curated record. NCBI's taxonomy places the organism in Eukaryota, Metazoa, Chordata, Ceratodontiformes, Protopteridae. The transcript is spliced from 3 exons.